GUGCCAGCAGCCGCGGUAAUACGUAGGGGGCAAGCGUUGUCCGGAAUCAUUGGGCGUAAAGAGCGUGUAGGCGGCUCGGUAAGUCCGCUGUGAAAGUCCAGGGCUCAACCCUGGAAUGCCGUUGGAAACUGUCGAGCUAGAGUCCGGAAGAGGCGAGUGGAAUUCCUGGUGUAGCGGUGAAAUGCGCAGAUAUCGGGAAGAACACCCGUGGCGAAGGCGGUUCUCUGGGACGGUACUGACGCUGAGACGCGAAAGCGUGGGGAGCGAACAGGAUUAGAUACCCUGGUAGUCCACGCCGUAAACGAUGGGCACUAGGUGUGGGUAUCGACUUCCGCUGUGCCGAAGCUAACGCAUUGAGUGCCCCGCCUGGGGAGUACGGCCGCAAGGCUAAAACUCAAAUGAAUUGACGG
This 410-nucleotide ribosomal RNA is filed under the name uncultured bacterium. Its description in RNAcentral is "bacterial SSU rRNA". It matches the Rfam family "Bacterial small subunit ribosomal RNA", at positions 505 to 916 of the family's 1533-position model. The record is from RNAcentral.